CGCUCCGUCAUUUGGGGAGUAGUCUGCUUCCGUCCCCGGAAGCGCCCGCGUCAACAUUCUCGGCACCUUCUUGUGCCGUGGCGCCGGCAGCCGUUUUCGGCCUGACGAGACCAUUGACAUACCAGCGCAAUGAGGUCGGGCGCGUCUGGCAUGUCAUGGAAUCGUCGCCCGGC
This 173-nucleotide small RNA is filed under the name Pollutimonas bauzanensis. Its description in RNAcentral is "Candidimonas bauzanensis Manganese sequence". It matches the Rfam family "Manganese Mn2+ riboswitch aptamer (yybP-ykoY)". From Rfam's summary of the family: This RNA was originally discovered in E. coli during a large scale screen and was named SraF. The record is from Rfam by way of RNAcentral. Lineage: Bacteria; Pseudomonadati; Pseudomonadota; Betaproteobacteria; Burkholderiales; Alcaligenaceae.